GUCUAUAGUUGCCACGUAGGCAACCAACCGACAAUAAAUAAAAUUGCGCACUUAACGGUGUUGACAGAAUAAAAUUACUCACCUCCGUAAUUUACAAAUUAUUUAACUUCUCCAGUUGUCCUGAACCGUAAAAUGGCCUCUUCGUCUAAACAGUCUGUUAUUGAGUCACACCUGAUUUACAAAACCUGCCUGGGUAACGGCUCGUUUGGCAUAGUCAUGAAAGCCUUGGACUCAUCUUCGACUGCCACCGCAGUAAAGUUUUUAUUCCCAUCCACCGAUCCAAAGGAUUCUAAACAGCUAGUAAAUAUUUCUCGCGAGUGCACCAUUUCCCGCAAACUAGCACACCAUCCCAACAUUGUGAAAGUGUUGUCGGUUGUUGAACGCAAAUUUUCCGUGUUCGAACUGAAAAAUAUAUUCCCCGAUUCAAUAUUACAAAACGAGGAACAACAAGCAUUAAGAGAUACAUUUCUCGGCAAAGCAAAGCGGGAAAAAGAAAUUUCUGUAAUUCAAAUCCAAAUGGAACUAUGCGGCGAGAACUUACGAAAUUGGCUAAAUUCUCCGGAUUCGAAUAAUAGCCCAAGUCUUAACAGAGUUCAAUUUACGAUCGUAAAAAAUCUUGUGUCUGGUUUGGACUAUUUGCACGACAACAAAAUUAUUCACCGUUCUUGAUUUUGCCUGAGAAACACAUCGAGUUGCAUCCUCUUGCAAUACACGAUGAGUUAGUUUGUAAUAAUUGCUGGGCGAAAUAUUAGAAAAUCUGCUGCUAACCUUAUGAUUAAUGCCUCGAACCUCAAACUACCUCUAAUGAGCUCACGGAAAUUUAUUCCGACUACUCCUUUUAAUUUUUUUUUCACAUGUAAACAGUAUUACCCAUUUCUUUUGUUUCGAUGAAUUUUUCCUGCCGAAGUAGCUUAAUCGAGGCAUUCUUAGCAGCUGUGCGUGCCGAUUUAAUUUCGGAGCCUGAAAGGCUGUAAUUUAAAACAUAUUUUUAUGAAUUUAUGAUAUAAAUGCGAUGAGAGUACUGGGUUUUUCUAAAUACCAUUUUGAUGCUGAUCGAUUACCCUUCUGAAAGCCUGCUGAGUGUAUUUCCUUCUUCCGGUUGUUAGAUUCCUCUUCUGACUCAAAGUUUAUCUUAAACAUUUCACGUCGAGCUGAUUCAUCAGGAAGUGAACAUAUAUUGUCGUAUCAAAACGUCGUUGAAAUGCAUUAUUCAGAUUUUGAGGUGUAUUGGUGGCCCCCAGACCCGAUUGAUGGUCAGAUUGGUUGCGGAUGAUUCUGGAACCUCAUACUACAUUAAUUACAGGCGAACAUUAAUUUAAGUAAUCCUAGAUUUGUUACUAAAGUGUAUUUUUUUACAGAUGAAGGACAGACAAAGCUCGUCCAGCUUUUAGAUUAAUCCUAGUCUCAGGUAACUGUAGCAGGAACGAAUGACAUGGACUUAGAUAUGGACGAAAAUUAUAAUAAAAGUCCCUAGAGCAUAGCAUUUUCUUUCAAUUUUGAUAGCAUUUUCAUGUAUUUAUGUAGGUUUCUGGAGCUAUAUCUGUACUGGACGACUCCAAAUCUCCUCACUCGCAAAGAUUUUCUUCCUAUAUUCUUGACAAUUUGAAGUCACCUGAAAUAACUUGCCAGGUUUAUGAAAUCCGGAGCAGUUUCUGUAAGAUCAGUAAAAGGGAUUAGUGCGGUCGAUGACUAAUUACUGCUGGCUGAACGGAAGAGGAUGAAUAUUCAGACGGAUGGGAUGCAUUAUGGAAUUGUUGUUGUUCUUCUUUUCUUCUAACUUCUCCGAACUAAUUUCAGCAAAUCUUAGAGAGUUGGUAAGGUUACGUGACUAUCACGUAGUGAUAUCAUGUAAGAUCGCGAACCACGACAUGAUGUACGCUUUUAGGUGUAAUAACUCGUUUUAGAGAAAGAACGCUCGGAAGAAUGCGUUGUCCCUUUGAAGCUUCCGUAGUAUUUUCAGUUAUCCAAUACACAUCCUUGUAAUAAUUUUGUGGAUAAUUAGCCGAAAGAUUUCUAACGGGGGAAGAUUGAAGAAUACGUUCUAAAAUAUUUGACUUCACCGCCAUUGUGCUUAUGUGCAUAUCAGACAGUUGCGUAUUUCACCGAUUUCUACUUUUACAAAACUUCUGACAUUAACAUCAAUUUAGAUAACUUGAGUAUCACGCGGCAGCUUAUUAGGCAAAUAAAACUAACCAAAUAGACUAAUGUCAAUCAAAUGUAUAUCGAUAAAAUAGCUUCUCUGCUAAUAUUGUUUACUUCUCGGUGACUGUUAUUACUAGCACAGUAACACAUUUAUUACUAGUACAUAGCAAAUUCACCAUGCUGGUAAAUGGUUACAGAUAAGGUAAAUUGAUUGUGUUUGCGUUUAAAUUUUUAUUAACCUAUCACACAUUCUGGCAUUAGUACUCAACCGGAUAAACAACAAAUUCGAUUAUUCAGUUCUAUUUGACGAGUUAUGGCGAAUUUUUAUUAAAAUAUAAGCUGGAAAGCCGUUAACAAUUAUUACGACAAGUGUGUAAUAUUAUGUUAAGAUAGAUUUGUGAUUCACUUCGAAGUACCUUGAUUUUAGUAACAUUACCUGAUAUUAUGACAUUUGAUUUAUUCAAAAUUCGUAACAUCGAUAUUUUGGGAAAAUCCAGUGUCAAACAUAUUUCCUUAACGUAGAUAAACGGUUACAUUUCACGCCAAAGGAUGAAAUAUCGACUGCAGUAAAUAAGUUGAAAGUAGUUAGAUGUAGUGUAGGUGUGUGGGUAUUAAAUGCAAUGUGGAAUAAUAAUUACAACAUGAAAUUACUGUGAUGCUUUAGCAUUUCUGGUUUUAUUUAUUGAAACCAUGACAAAAAUAAUUUUAGCGAAAUUCAAAUUUGUCACCUAAUAUUAUAUUUAUUUUUCUAUUACAUUGCAAUAAAUUUGAGAUUUUUUAAUAUUAUAUUACCACCUUUUGAGGAAAUUAUACCCGACGCGUAUCAGAGUGAUGGUAAUUUUCCAUUACCUUGAAGUUUACUAAUACCGGAGGCGAAUGUGCGUCAGCGUCGUUUCACGAUUUGAGAAUGGGGUGAACGUAGUUCAUAAUAAUGUCUUCAUAUCGCCAAGGCAAAAAUAUUAGACAAAUUUAGUAUCUGUAAGAGGUUAUUCCAAGCUAUUUAUUAAUCUCAUAGGUGCUAGCAAUUAAGUACAUAAUAAUAUGAAAUUCAGUUUUAAAAUUAAUUAUCACAAAAGCUGUAUAUGAUAUUUUUUUUAAUAAUUCUUUUAUUUCAGAUUAUACUCACAUCAAAUUAGUGUAAUUUGUUUU
Folsomia candida is the source of this 3291-nucleotide long non-coding RNA. RefSeq lists it as uncharacterized. The record is from RefSeq and is a predicted model, not a curated record. The transcript has 4 exons. Lineage: Eukaryota; Metazoa; Arthropoda; Collembola; Entomobryomorpha; Isotomidae.